ACUCGCUGAAACUCUGAGGUGUAACAAGGUCCCUGGACAGAGUGAGAAGUGAGGAUGGGCAAGCCUUCUCCCCAGCAGCACUUGUGCCCUCAAAAAUGUGAGAUGUAAGCAAAGAUGUCUUCUACUUUUGCCUCCCUCUUCUGUGCUGGUCUUUCAUUUCAUCCUUUUUCUGACUGCUCCCCACUCUACAUGCACACAAA
This 200-nucleotide long non-coding RNA is filed under the name Homo sapiens (human). RNAcentral's name for it is "HSALNT0313837". The record is from RNAcentral. Lineage: Eukaryota; Metazoa; Chordata; Mammalia; Primates; Hominidae.